RNAcentral lists this ribosomal RNA (253 nucleotides) under uncultured bacterium. RNAcentral describes it as "partial 16S ribosomal RNA". It matches the Rfam family "Bacterial small subunit ribosomal RNA", at positions 524 to 776 of the family's 1533-position model. The record is from RNAcentral.
UACGAAGGGGGCUAGCGUUGCUCGGAAUGACUGGGCGUAAAGGGCGCGUAGGCGGAGAGCUUUGUCAGGCGUGAAAUUCCAGGGCUUAACCUUGGGGCUGCGUUUGAGACGGGUUUUCUUGAGUGGGGAAGAGGGUCGUGGAAUUCCCAGUGUAGAGGUGAAAUUCGUAGAUAUUGGGAAGAACACCGGUGGCGAAGGCGGCGACCUGGUCCUUUACUGACGCUGAGGCGCGAAAGCGUGGGGAGCAAACAGG